RNAcentral lists this ribosomal RNA (440 nucleotides) under uncultured bacterium. Its description in RNAcentral is "partial 16S ribosomal RNA". It matches the Rfam family "Bacterial small subunit ribosomal RNA", at positions 338 to 795 of the family's 1533-position model. The record is from RNAcentral.
CCUACGGGAGGCAGCAGUGGGGAAUAUUGCACAAUGGGGGAAACCCUGAUGCAGCGACGCCGCGUGAGUGAAGAAGUAAUUCGUUAUGUAAAGCUCUAUCAGCAGGGAAGAAAAUGACGGUACCUGAGUAAGAAGCCCCGGCUAACUACGUGCCAGCAGCCGCGGUAAUACGUAGGGGGCAAGCGUUAUCCGGAUUUACUGGGUGGAAAGGGAGCGUAGACGGCAGUGCAAGUCUGGAGUGAAAGGCGGGGGCUCAACCCCCGGACUGCUCUGGAAACUGUACGGCUGGAGUGCAGGAGAGGUAAGUGGAAUUCCUAGUGGAGCGGUGAAAUGCGUAGAUAUUAGGAGGAACACCAGUGGCGAAGGCGGCUUACUGGACUGUAACUGACGUUGAGGCUCGAAAGCGUGGGGAGCAAACAGGAUUAGAUACCCUAGUAGUC